Molecule: long non-coding RNA, 644 nt
Organism: Nasonia vitripennis (jewel wasp)
Lineage: Eukaryota; Metazoa; Arthropoda; Insecta; Hymenoptera; Pteromalidae
Exons: 3
Source: RefSeq, a predicted model, not a curated record
AACUAGAUUGUAUACUAAAACACCACUGUUUAUUCAACAGUGUAUUGAUUAUUAUGAAAGACCUGAAAGUGAGCAUGCCAGAUGAGAAAAACGAAAUCGUUAUAAGUCACUGGACGAUCAACCUGAUGUGAUUUAUCUUGGUGAAAAUAUCACGAUACGUAGACAAGCAUGGGAUCUUAUAUUAAUAGAAAAACCUUCAAUCUUCGUAUCUUCCUUAGCUAUCCACAUUUGGGGCGGACACGAUGUCUUAGCUAAUAGAGCUUUAGAUUUUACACACGGUGCCGAAAACAUUCCAAACAGAUCACCCGUAAAAGUUAUUGAAAAAAAAUUAUUGCGAUUACUUAUAAGUUUGUUCUACGAUUUUCUGAAAAGUAACACAUCGUUGAGAAGUAAGGAGCGUGUUCGACGCAGUUAUCAAAAGUCAUUUAUUACUUGAGACACAAGAUUCGUAAUUUGAGAAGGGAAUAUAGAAAAAGAUAAACACUUUACUCAAGAAGAAAGUCAAUUGCAAAUUGCAAGAAGAAGACUAAGAUACAAUUAUUCAGGAUAAAUUAGUUGUUGUUUCGAACAAAAUCGUAAAAUUUAUUUAUUUUUUUAUAAAAAUACGAUCAAAACAAAAAAAACGAGUUAUUUUUAAGAUUUUU